GAACUAGCAUAUCAAUAAGCGGAGGAAAAGAAACCAACAGGGAUUGCCCUAGUAACGGCGAGUGAAGCGGCAACAGCUCAAAUUUGAAAUCUGGCGUAAGCCCGAGUUGUAAUUUGUAGAGGAUGCUUCUGGGUAGCGGCCGGUCUAAGUUCCUUGGAACAGGACGUCAUAGAGGGUGAGAAUCCCGUAUGUGACUGGCUUGCACCCUCCACGUAGCUCCUUCGACGAGUCGAGUUGUUUGGGAAUGCAGCUCUAAAUGGGAGGUAAAUUUCUUCUAAAGCUAAAUACCGGCCAGAGACCGAUAGCGCACAAGUAGAGUGAUCGAAAGAUGAAAAGCACUUUGGAAAGAGAGUUAAAAAGCACGUGAAAUUGUUGAAAGGGAAGCGCCCGCAACCAGACUUUGCGGCGGUGUUCGGCUGGUCUUCUGACCGGUUUACUCGCCGCCGUGAGGCCAUCAUCGUCUGGGACCGCUGGAUAAGACCUGAGGAAUGUAGCUCCCUUCGGGGUGUGUUAUAGCCUCUAGUGAUGCAGCGCGUCUCGGGCGAGGUCCGCGCUUCGGCAAGGAUGAUGGCGUAAUGGUUGUCGGCGGCCCGUCUUGAAACACGGACCAAGGAGUCUAACAUCUAUGCGAGUGUUCGGGUGUCAAACCCCUACGCGUAAUGAAAGUGAACGGAGGUGGGAACUUUUUGUGCACCAUCGACCGAUCCUGAUGUCCUCGGAUGGAUUUGAGUAAGAGCAUAGCUGUUGGGACCCGAAAGAUGGUGAACUAUGCCUGAAUAGGGUGAAGCCAGAGGAAACUCUGGUGGAGGCUCGCAGCGGUUCUGACGUGCAAAUCGAUCGUCAAAUUUGGGUAUAGGGGCAGACUAAUCG
RNAcentral lists this ribosomal RNA (870 nucleotides) under Pseudocercospora holarrhenae. RNAcentral describes it as "eukaryotic LSU rRNA". It matches the Rfam family "Eukaryotic large subunit ribosomal RNA", at positions 30 to 937 of the family's 3401-position model. Lineage: Eukaryota; Fungi; Ascomycota; Dothideomycetes; Mycosphaerellales; Mycosphaerellaceae. The record is from RNAcentral.